Molecule: ribosomal RNA, 253 nt
Filed under: uncultured bacterium
Lineage: Bacteria
Description: partial 16S ribosomal RNA
Rfam family: Bacterial small subunit ribosomal RNA
Source: RNAcentral
UACGGAGGGUGCAAGCGUUAUCCGGAUUUACUGGGUUUAAAGGGUGCGUAGGUGGGUCUGUAAGUCAGUGGUGAAAUCUUCGAGCUUAACUCGGAAACUGCCAUUGAUACUAUAGGUCUUGAAUUAUCUGGAGGUAAGCGGAAUAUGUCAUGUAGCGGUGAAAUGCUUAGAUAUGACAUAGAACACCCAUUGCGAAGGCAGCUUACUACGGAUUGAUUGACACUGAGGCACGAAAGCGUGGGGAUCAAACAGG